This 82-nucleotide transfer RNA is filed under the name Candidatus Melainabacteria bacterium GWF2_32_7. Its description in RNAcentral is "tRNA-Leu". It matches the Rfam family "tRNA". From Rfam's summary of the family: Transfer RNA (tRNA) molecules are approximately 80 nucleotides in length. Their secondary structure includes four short double-helical elements and three loops (D, anti-codon, and T loops). Further hydrogen bonds mediate the characteristic L-shaped molecular structure. tRNAs have two regions of fundamental functional importance: the anti-codon, which is responsible for specific mRNA codon recognition, and the 3' end, to which the tRNAs corresponding amino acid is attached (by aminoacyl-tRNA synthetases). tRNAs cope with the degeneracy of the genetic code in two manners: having more than one tRNA (with a specific anti-codon) for a particular amino acid; and 'wobble' base-pairing, i.e. permitting non-standard base-pairing at the 3rd anti-codon position. Lineage: Bacteria; Bacillati; Candidatus Melainabacteria. The record is from RNAcentral. RNAcentral also lists the same sequence under 3 other names.
GUCGGGAUGGCGGAAUUGGUAGACGCGCACGUUUGAGGGGCGUGUGGAGAAAUCUGUGAGGGUUCAAGUCCCUCUCUCGACA